This 329-nucleotide unclassified non-coding RNA is filed under the name soil metagenome. Its description in RNAcentral is "partial contains 5.8S ribosomal RNA, internal transcribed spacer 2, and large subunit ribosomal RNA". The stretch from base 1 to 120 matches the Rfam family "5.8S ribosomal RNA", at positions 35 to 154 of the family's 154-position model. The record is from RNAcentral.
GAUGAAGAACGCAGCGAAAUGCGAUAAGUAAUGUGAAUUGUAGAAUUCAGUGAAUCAUCGAAUCUUUGAACGCACAUUGCGCCCCCUGGUAUUCCGGGGGGCAUGCCUGUCCGAGCGUCAUUACAACCCUCAAGCUCAGCUUGGUGUUGGGCCCCGCCGCCCCGGCGGGCCCUAAAGUCAGUGGCGGUGCCGUCCGGCUCCGAGCGUAGUAAUUCUUCUCGCUCUGGAGGUCCGGUCGUGUGCUCGCCAGCAACCCCCAAUUUUUUUCAGGUUGACCUCGGAUCAGGUAGGGAUACCCGCUGAACUUAAGCAUAUCAAUAAGCGGAGGA